RNAcentral lists this ribosomal RNA (253 nucleotides) under uncultured bacterium. RNAcentral describes it as "partial 16S ribosomal RNA". It matches the Rfam family "Bacterial small subunit ribosomal RNA", at positions 524 to 776 of the family's 1533-position model. The record is from RNAcentral.
UACGGAGGGGGCUAGCGUUGUUCGGAAUUACUGGGCGUAAAGCGCGUGUAGGCGGUUCGGUAAGUCCGCUGUGAAAGUCGGGGGCUCAACCCUCGAAUGCCGGUGGAUACUGUCGGGCUAGAGUGCGGAAGAGGCGAGUGGAAUUCCUGGUGUAGCGGUGAAAUGCGCAGAUAUCAGGAGGAACACCAAUUGCGAAGGCAGCUCGCUGGGACGCUACUGACGCUGAGACGCGGAAGCGUGGGGAGCAAACAGG